GGCGCACGGGUGCGUAACACGUGGGUAAUCUGCCCUGGAGUCCGGAAUAACUCGCCGAAAGGCGUGCUAAUGCCGGCUAAGACCACGGGAACUUCGGUUCCUGCGGGAAAAGGUGGCCUCUGUACACAAGCUAUCGCUUCAGGAUGAGCCCGCGGCCCAUCAGCUAGUUGGCGGGGUAAUGGCCCACCAAGGCUACGACGGGUAGCUGGUCUAAGAGGACGAUCAGCCACACUGGAACUGAGACACGGUCCAGACUCCUACGGGAGGCAGCAGUGGGGAAUCUUGCGCAAUGGGCGAAAGCCUGACGCAGCAACGCCGCGUGUGUGAUGAAGGUCUUCGGAUCGUAAAGCACUGUCGGG
RNAcentral lists this ribosomal RNA (359 nucleotides) under uncultured Anaeromyxobacter sp. RNAcentral's name for it is "bacterial SSU rRNA". It matches the Rfam family "Bacterial small subunit ribosomal RNA", at positions 97 to 440 of the family's 1533-position model. Lineage: Bacteria; Pseudomonadati; Myxococcota; Myxococcia; Myxococcales; Anaeromyxobacteraceae. The record is from RNAcentral.